UACGUAGGUGGCAAGCGUUGUCCGGAUUUACUGGGCGUAAAGAGCGCGCAGGCGGCCGAGUAAGUCGAAUGUGAAAGCCCCCGGCUCAACUGGGGAACGUCAUUCGAUACUGUUCGGCUUGAAGAUAGGAGAGGGAAGCGGAAUUUCAGGUGUAGUGGUGAAAUGCGUAGAUAUCUGAAGGAACACCAGUGGCGAAGGCGGCUUUCUGGCCUAUUCUUGACGCUGAGGCGCGAAAGCUAGGGGAGCGAACGGG
Molecule: ribosomal RNA, 253 nt
Filed under: uncultured bacterium
Lineage: Bacteria
Also listed under: 1 other name
Description: partial 16S ribosomal RNA
Rfam family: Bacterial small subunit ribosomal RNA
Source: RNAcentral